This 274-nucleotide ribosomal RNA is filed under the name uncultured bacterium. RNAcentral describes it as "partial 16S ribosomal RNA". It matches the Rfam family "Bacterial small subunit ribosomal RNA", at positions 523 to 796 of the family's 1533-position model. The record is from RNAcentral.
AUACGGAGGGUGCAAGCGUUAAUCGGAAUUACUGGGCGUAAAGAGUACGUAGGCGGUUUGUUAAGUUAGAUGUGAAAGCCCCGGGCUUAACCUGGGAACUGCAUUUAAAACUGGCAAACUAGAGUUGGGGAGAGGGAAGUGGAAUUUCAGGUGUAGCGGUGAAAUGCGUAGAGAUCUGAAGGAACACCAGUGGCGAAGGCGACUUCCUGGACUCAAACUGACGCUGAGGUACGAAAGCGUGGGUAGCAAACGGGAGUAGAAACCCUAGUAGUCC